This 274-nucleotide ribosomal RNA is filed under the name uncultured bacterium. RNAcentral's name for it is "partial 16S ribosomal RNA". It matches the Rfam family "Bacterial small subunit ribosomal RNA", at positions 523 to 796 of the family's 1533-position model. The record is from RNAcentral.
AUACGAAAGGGGCAAGCGUUGUUCGGAUUUACUGGGCGUAAAGAGAUCGUAGGUGGUUUAUCAAGUCGGAUGUGAAAUCCCGGGGCUCAACCCCGGAACUGCAUUCGAUACUGGUAGACUUGAGUUCGGGAGGGGGAUGCGGAAUUCCGCGUGUAGCAGUGAAAUGCGUAGAUAUGCGGAGGAACACCAGAGGCGAAGGCGGCAUCCUGGACCGAUACUGACACUGAGGAUCGAAAGCGUGGGUAGCAAACAGGAUUAGAAACCCCGGUAGUCC